AGGGGCUUAGGAUAANCUAGACCAAGGGCCUUCAAAGCCCUCAGCGGAGGUGAAAAUCCUCCAGCCCCUG
RNAcentral lists this transfer RNA (70 nucleotides) under Gadus ogac (Greenland cod). RNAcentral describes it as "tRNA-Trp". It matches the Rfam family "tRNA". From Rfam's summary of the family: Transfer RNA (tRNA) molecules are approximately 80 nucleotides in length. RNAcentral also lists the same sequence under 1 other name. Lineage: Eukaryota; Metazoa; Chordata; Actinopteri; Gadiformes; Gadidae. The record is from RNAcentral.